This 390-nucleotide ribosomal RNA is filed under the name uncultured Basidiomycota. RNAcentral's name for it is "eukaryotic LSU rRNA". The stretch from base 89 to 242 matches the Rfam family "5.8S ribosomal RNA". The record is from RNAcentral. Lineage: Eukaryota; Fungi; Basidiomycota.
CAUUAUGGAUUUAUAUAUAUAACACCUUUGUGCACUAUUAUAAUAAACACAACCAAAAAAAAAUUGUUGUAUGUUUUGAACCAAAUACAACUUUCAACAACGGAUCUCUUGGCUCUCGCAUCGAUGAAGAACGCAGCGAAAUGCGAUAAGUAAUGUGAAUUGCAGAAUUCAGUGGAUCAUCGAAUCUUUGAACGCACCUUGCGCUCCUUGGUAUUCCGAGGAGCAUGCCUGUUUGAGUGUCAUGAUAUUCUCAACAAAAUUGUUGGAUAUUGGAGAAUGCUGGUUGUUGAAUCGGCUACUCUUGAAUGUAGAAAAUAAAAAUGUGAAGGUAAUAGAUUUUACUUCACUUUGACAUAUAUCUCUAUGACCUCAAAUCAGGUAGGAGUACCC